RNAcentral lists this ribosomal RNA (253 nucleotides) under uncultured bacterium. RNAcentral's name for it is "partial 16S ribosomal RNA". It matches the Rfam family "Bacterial small subunit ribosomal RNA", at positions 524 to 776 of the family's 1533-position model. The record is from RNAcentral.
UACGUAGGCAGCGAGCGUUGUUCGGAGUUACUGGGCGUAAAGAGUGUGUAGGCGGUGCUCUAAGUCUGGUGUGAAAUCCCUCAGCUUAACUGGGGAACUGCGUGUGAUACUGGAUGGCUUGGAUUUGGGAGAGGGAUGCGGAAUUCCAGGUGUAGCGGUGAAAUGCGUAGAUAUCUGGAGGAACACCGGCGGCGAAGGCGGCUGGCUGGACCUGACCUGACGCUGAGGCGCGAAGGCGUGGGGAGCGAACGGG